This 354-nucleotide transfer-messenger RNA is filed under the name Selenomonadaceae. Its description in RNAcentral is "UBA2913 sp900770895 Standard tmRNA". It matches the Rfam family "transfer-messenger RNA". From Rfam's summary of the family: Bacterial tmRNA, also known as 10Sa RNA or SsrA, is named for its dual tRNA and mRNA-like properties. Its role is to liberate the mRNA from a stalled ribosome. RNAcentral also lists the same sequence under 1 other name. The record is from RNAcentral. Lineage: Bacteria; Bacillati; Bacillota; Negativicutes; Selenomonadales.
GGGGAUGUAAAGGUUUCGACGGGGAUAUAUGCUUCAUGGAUAGCGAGCCGGGGGGUCAUCAUCCCGUUAGUAAGGUGAAAACUUUUAUUUAAAUAUAAAAGCUAACGAAGACUACGCUCUGGCUGCUUAACGCCAGCCCCUGUACAGCUGCUGCCCACACGGCGGUAUAAGGGGUAAGCUGUGGGAUACCUGAUAGUCAAUUCUCGGAGACUUGACUGGGAACUCUGAUCGAGAUAGGUGCUGAGCCGUUUGUCUGUUGAUGGCGAGGCACUGAAAUCUAACAACAGACUGUGCUCGAAGAAGUCUGUGGGACAGUAUUUUCGGACAGGAGUUCGAUUCUCCUCAUCUCCACCA